GGCUGGUCCAAAGGUACUGAGUUACCUAAGUGAUUGUUCACAGUUGCAGAUCAAACUCCUUUGCCCUGUUCUUUUUCCCCUUCCCACUAUUGCACUUGACUAGUCUUAA
This 109-nucleotide Y RNA is filed under the name Prolemur simus (greater bamboo lemur). RNAcentral describes it as "Y RNA (ENSPSMG00000014325.1)". It matches the Rfam family "Y RNA". From Rfam's summary of the family: Y RNAs are components of the Ro ribonucleoprotein particle (Ro RNP), in association with Ro60 and La proteins. The Y RNAs and Ro60 and La proteins are well conserved, but the function of the Ro RNP is not known. In humans the RNA component can be one of four small RNAs -- hY1, hY3, hY4 and hY5. Lineage: Eukaryota; Metazoa; Chordata; Mammalia; Primates; Lemuridae. The record is from Rfam by way of RNAcentral.